RNAcentral lists this ribosomal RNA (279 nucleotides) under uncultured bacterium. RNAcentral describes it as "partial 16S ribosomal RNA". The stretch from base 1 to 227 matches the Rfam family "Bacterial small subunit ribosomal RNA", at positions 118 to 349 of the family's 1533-position model. The record is from RNAcentral.
UGAGCAAUCUGCCCUUCUCUUCGGAAUAAGCGUUGGAAACGACGUCUAAUGCCGAAUACGACCUCCUUUCGCAUGAUCGGAGGUGGAAAGCUCCGGCGGAGAAGGAUGAGCUCGCGGCCUAUCAGCUAGUUGGUGUGGGUAAUGGCCCACCAAGGCGACGACGGGUAGCCGGCCUGAGAGGGUGACCGGCCCACUCGGUGACGUAGGAACCGAACCGGACCCCGGACCCGAACGUACCCGUUACCCGGGGUAACGGGGGACCGGAGACCGGUAACGGGG